RNAcentral lists this ribosomal RNA (618 nucleotides) under uncultured bacterium. RNAcentral describes it as "bacterial SSU rRNA". It matches the Rfam family "Bacterial small subunit ribosomal RNA", at positions 56 to 668 of the family's 1533-position model. The record is from RNAcentral.
UGCAAGUCGAACGGCAGCGGGGGCUUCGGCCCGCCGGCGAGUGGCGAACGGGUGAGUAAUGCAUCGGAACGUACCCAGUCGUGGGGGAUAACUACGCGAAAGCGUAGCUAAUACCGCAUACGCCCUGAGGGGGAAAGCGGGGGACCUUCGGGCCUCGCGCGAUUGGAGCGGCUGAUGUCGGAUUAGCUAGUUGGUGGGGUAAAGGCCUACCAAGGCGACGAUCCGUAGCUGGUCUGAGAGGAUGAUCAGCCACACUGGGACUGAGACACGGCCCAGACUCCUACGGGAGGCAGCAGUGGGGAAUUUUGGACAAUGGGCGCAAGCCUGAUCCAGCCAUGCCGCGUGAGUGAAGAAGGCCUUCGGGUUGUAAAGCUCUUUCAGACGGAAAGAAAUCGGGCGCGUGAAUAGCGUGCCUGGAUGACGGUACUGUCAGAAGAAGCACCGGCUAACUACGUGCCAGCAGCCGCGGUAAUACGUAGGGUGCGAGCGUUAAUCGGAAUUACUGGGCGUAAAGCGUGCGCAGGCGGUUGUGUAAGACAGGUGUGAAAUCCCCGGGCUUAACCUGGGAACUGCGCUUGUGACUGCACGGCUAGAGUACGGCAGAGGGGGGGUGGAAUU